AGGCCAGACUCCUACGGGAGGCAGCAGUGGGGAAUAUUGGGCAAUGGGCGCAAGCCUGACCCAGCAACGCCGCGUGAAGGAAGAAGGCUUUCGGGUUGUAAACUUCUUUUAAGAGGGACGAAGGAAGUGACGGUACCUCUUGAAUAAGCCACGGCUAACUACGUGCCAGCAGCCGCGGUAAUACGUAGGUGGCAAGCGUUAAUCGGAAUUACUGGGCGUAAAGCGCUCGUAGGCGGUAUGUCAAGUCAAGGGUGAAAUCCCCGCGCUCAACGUGGGAACUGCCUUUGAAACUGGCAAACUGGAGUGUGUGAGAGGAUAGUGGAAUUCCAGGUGUAGGAGUGAAAUCCGUAGAUAUCUGGAGGAACAUCAGUGGCGAAGGCGACUAUCUGGCACAUAACUGACGCUGAGGAGCGAAAGCGUGGGUAGCAAACAGGAUUAGAUACCCGUGUA
Molecule: ribosomal RNA, 450 nt
Filed under: uncultured bacterium
Lineage: Bacteria
Description: bacterial SSU rRNA
Rfam family: Bacterial small subunit ribosomal RNA
Source: RNAcentral